RNAcentral lists this ribosomal RNA (253 nucleotides) under uncultured prokaryote. Its description in RNAcentral is "partial 16S ribosomal RNA". It matches the Rfam family "Bacterial small subunit ribosomal RNA", at positions 524 to 776 of the family's 1533-position model. The record is from RNAcentral.
UACGGGGGGAGCAAGCGUUGUUCGGAUUUACUGGGCGUAAAGGGCGCGUAGGCGGCCUGCUAAGUCGAACGUGAAAUCCCUGGGCUCAACCCAGGAAGUGCGUCCGAUACUGGUUGGCUUGAAUCCGGGAGAGGGAUGUGGAAUUCCUGGUGUAGCGGUGAAAUGCGUAGAUAUCUGGAGGAACACCGGUGGCGAAGGCGGCAUCCUGGACCGGCAUUGACGCUGAGGCGCGAAAGCCAGGGGAGCAAACGGG